UGCCCGCUGGUGUAGCGGUAGCACGAUGGACUUUGGAUCCACAGGGCGAGGUUCGAACCCUCGGCGGGCAGCCA
This 74-nucleotide transfer RNA is filed under the name Dehalococcoidia bacterium. Its description in RNAcentral is "tRNA-Gln". It matches the Rfam family "tRNA". From Rfam's summary of the family: Transfer RNA (tRNA) molecules are approximately 80 nucleotides in length. Their secondary structure includes four short double-helical elements and three loops (D, anti-codon, and T loops). Lineage: Bacteria; Bacillati; Chloroflexota; Dehalococcoidia. The record is from RNAcentral.